UACGAAGGGUGCAAGCGUUACUCGGAAUCACUGGGCGUAAAGCGUGCGUAGGCGGUUAGUUAAGUCUGCUGUGAAAGCCCUGGGCUCAACCUGGGAACUGCAGUGGAUACUGGCUGGCUAGAGUGUGAUAGAGGAUGGUGGAAUUCCCGGUGUAGCGGUGAAAUGCGUAGAGAUCGGGAGGAACACCAGUGGCGAAGGCGGCCAUCUGGAUCAACACUGACGCUGAGGCACGAAAGCGUGGGGAGCAAACAGG
This 253-nucleotide ribosomal RNA is filed under the name uncultured bacterium. Its description in RNAcentral is "partial 16S ribosomal RNA". It matches the Rfam family "Bacterial small subunit ribosomal RNA", at positions 524 to 776 of the family's 1533-position model. The record is from RNAcentral.